RNAcentral lists this ribosomal RNA (497 nucleotides) under uncultured bacterium. Its description in RNAcentral is "partial 16S ribosomal RNA". It matches the Rfam family "Bacterial small subunit ribosomal RNA", at positions 28 to 507 of the family's 1533-position model. The record is from RNAcentral.
GAUGAACGCUGGCGGCGUGCCUAAUACAUGCAAGUCGAGCGAACAGACGAGGAGCUUGCUCCUCUGACGUUAGCGGCGGACGGGUGAGUAACACGUGGAUAACCUACCUAUAAGACUGGGAUAACUUCGGGAAACCGGAGCUAAUACCGGAUAAUAUAUUGAACCGCAUGGUUCAAUAGUGAAAGACGGUUUUGCCGUCACUUAUAGAUGGAUCCGCGCCGCAUUAUCUAGUUGGUAAGGUAACGGCUUACCAAGGCAACGAUGCGUAGCCGACCUGAGAGGGUGAUCGGCCACACUGGAACUGAGACGCGGUCCAGACUCCUACGGGAGGCAGCAGUAGGGAAUCUUCCGCAAUGGGCGAAAGCCUGACGGAGCAACGCCGCGUGAGUGAUGAAGGUCUUCGGAUCGUAAAACUCUGUUAUUAGGGAAGAACAAAUGUGUAAGUAACUAUGCACGUCUUGACGGUACCUAAUCAGAAAGCCACGGCUAACUACGUG